This 330-nucleotide unclassified non-coding RNA is filed under the name soil metagenome. Its description in RNAcentral is "partial contains 5.8S ribosomal RNA, internal transcribed spacer 2, and large subunit ribosomal RNA". The stretch from base 1 to 120 matches the Rfam family "5.8S ribosomal RNA", at positions 35 to 154 of the family's 154-position model. The record is from RNAcentral.
GAUGAAGAACGUAGCGAAAUGCGAUAAGUAAUGUGAAUUGCAGAAUUCAGUGAAUCAUCGAAUCUUUGAACGCACAUUGCGCCCUCUGGUAUUCCGGGGGGCAUGCCUGUUCGAGCGUCAUUAUAACCACUCAAGCUCUCGCUUGGUAUUGGGGUUCGCGGUUUCGCGGCCCCUAAAAUCAGUGGCGGUGCCUGUCGGCUCUACGCGUAGUAAUACUUCUCGCGAUUGAGUUCGAUAGGUCUACUUGCCAGUAACCCCCAAUUUUUACAGGUUGACCUCGGAUCAGGUAGGGAUACCCGCUGAACUUAAGCAUAUCAAUAAGCCGGAGGA